Molecule: long non-coding RNA, 2333 nt
Filed under: Homo sapiens (human)
Lineage: Eukaryota; Metazoa; Chordata; Mammalia; Primates; Hominidae
Description: PREDICTED lncRNA (TCONS_00041124)
Source: RNAcentral
CUUCUGCCUCAGCCUCCCGAGUAGCUGGGACUACAGAGGCAUUUUUUUUUGUAUUUCUAGUAGAGACGGGGUUUCACCAUCUUGGCCAGGCUAGUCUUGAACUCCUGACCUCGUGAUCCACCCGCCUCAGCCUCCCAAAGUGUUGGGAUUACAGGCAUGAACCACCACGCGCGGCCAACAUUACUACUUUUUAAGUACUGAAAGGACAUCUGUGAACACCAGAGGCCUGCACUAGGCAUUCUAAGUUUAAAACACUUACUUCCAAAUCAAAGAAAUCAACCAACCAAUCAAAUUGAAAGAAACUACUUUAAAUUUCAUAUGGAACCAAAAAAAGCCCAUAUAGCCAAGAUGAUCCUAAGCAAAAAGAGCAAAGCUGGAGGCAUCAUGCUACCUGGCUUCAAACUAUACUACAAGGCUACAGUAACAAAAACAGCAUGGCACUGGUACUAAAACAGAUAUAUAGACCAAUGGAACAGAACAGAGGCCUCAGAAAUAACGCCACACAUCUACAACCAUCUGAUCUUUGACAAACCUGACAAAAACAAGCAAUGAGGAAAGGAUUCCCUAUUUAAUAAAUGGCGUUGGGAAAACUGGCUAGCCAUAUGCAGAAAACUGAAACUGGACCCCUUCCUGAUACCUUAAACAAAAAUUAAUUCAAGGUAGAUUAAGGACUUAAACAUAAGACCUAAAACCAUAAAAACCCUAGAAGAAAAGCUAGGCAAUACCAUUCAGGACACAGGCAUGGGCAAAGACUUCAUGACUAAAACACCAAAAGCAAUGGCAACAAAAGCCAAAAUAGACAAAUGGGAUCUAAUUAAACUAAAGAGCUUCUGCACAGCAAAAGAAACUAUCAUCAGAGUGAACAGGCAAUCUACAGAAUGGGAGAAAAUUUUUGCAAUCUAUCCAUCUGACAAAGGGCUAAUAUCCAGAAUCUACAAGGAACUUAAACAAAUGUACAAGAAAAAAACAACCUCAACAAAAAGUGGGCAAAGGAUAUGAACAGACACUUCUCAAAAGAAGACAUUUAUGUGGUCAACAAACAUAUGAAAAAAAAGCUCAUCAUCACUGGUCAUUAUAGAAAUGCAAAUCAAAAACACAUGAUUAAAUCAUGAUCAUUAAAAAGUCAGGAAACAACAGAUGCUGGAAAGGAUGUGGAGAAAAUAGGAAUGCUUUUACACUGUUGGUGGGAGUGUAAAUUAGUUCAUCUAUUGUGGAAGACCGUGUGGCGAUUCCUCAAGGAUCUAGAACCAGAAAUACCAUUUGACCCAGCAAUCCCAUUAGUGGGUAUAUACUCAAAGGAUUAUAAAUCAUUCUACUCUAAAGACAUAUGCACAUGUAUGUUUACUGCAGCACUAUUCACAAUAGCAAAGACUUGGAACCAACCCAAAUGCCUAUCAAUGAUAGACUGGAUAAAGAAAAUGUGGCACAUAUACACUAUGGAAUACUAUGCAGCCAUAAAAAAGGAUGUUUGGCCAGGCGUGGUGGCUCACACCUGUAAUCUCAGCACUUUGGGAGGCUGAGGCGGGUGGAUCUCCUGAGGUUAGAAGUUUGAGACCAGCCUGGCUAACAUGGCGAAACCCCGUCUCUACUAAAAAUACAAAAAUCAGCCGGGUGUGGUGGUGUGCACCUGUAGUCCCAGCUACUCUGGAGGCUGAGGCAGAAGAAUCGCUUGAUUCCAGGAGGCGAAGGUUGCAGUGAGCCAAGAACACGCCAUUGCACUCCAACCUGGGCAACAAGAGUGAAACUCCAUCUCAAAAAAAAAAAAAAAAAAAAAAAAGAAGGAUGAGUUCAUGCCCUUUGCAGGGACAUGGAUGAAGCUGGAAACCAUCAUUCUCAGCAAACUAACACAGAAACAGAAAACCAAACACCGCAUGUUCUUGCUCAUAAGUGGGAGGUGAACAAUGAGAACACAUGGACACAGGGAGGGGAAUAUCAUACACCGGAGCCUGUAGGGGGUUAGGGGAGGGAUAGCAUUAGGAGAAAUACCUCAGGUAGAUGACAGGUUGAUGGAUGCAGCAAACCACCAUGGCACAUGUAUACCUAUGUAACAAACCUGCACGUUCUUCUUGCACAUGUAUCCCAGAACUUAAAGUACAAUUAAAAUAUAUAUGUAUAUGGCACUCUACCUUGAAAAAGAAAAUUGCUUAUGGAAGUGGUUACUGCAAGGCCUACAGCCUGUAAGUUAUGAAGCAGCAGAAGGAUGAUCUGAAAUAAGACGUAACAAUGUAACACCAGAUAUGAAUGGAUGGAGCUCAUAAUACACUGGUGAACUAAGGUGGAGGGUAGAUGUUUGAAGUAUGUAUCCUAAUACACAAAAUUCACUGAUAUGCUCA